Non-coding RNA from Mesocricetus auratus (golden hamster), 979 nucleotides. NCBI's taxonomy places the organism in Eukaryota, Metazoa, Chordata, Mammalia, Rodentia, Cricetidae. The record is from the annotation of a RefSeq genome assembly.
UGUGUUCUGGGGGAGACAAAAGGCCACCUGCGUUUUCUCCAAGCUUCAUUCUAGGAGGAAUGGACAAGAUCCUGAAAGCAUCAUUUGUAGUCCUAGCCCUUCACCCAGCCUGGGUGAGUGGCCAGAAGGAGAGACGUGACCAGCAGCAAGUGAGACAAAGUCCCCAAUCUCUGUCAGUCUGGGCAGGAGGGACUUCAGUUCUGAACUGCACUUAUGAGAACAGUGCAUUUGACUACUUCCCAUGGUACAGGCAGAUCCCUGGAGGAGGCCCUGCACUCCUGAUAGCCAUACGUUCAGUGUCGAAUAAAAAGGAAGAUGGAAGAUUCACAGUCUUCUUCAGUGAAAGUGAUAAACAGCUUUCCUUGCACAUCACAGAUUCUCAGCCUGGAGACUCAGCCACCUACUUCUGUGCAGCAAGUGCACAGUGCUCUCCAGGCACCUGCAGCCCACACCCAAACCUGCAGCUGAGGCUACAGGAAAACCCUGCUGUGGGGCUGAGCCUGGCAGAGGUGCAGAGCAGUUUUCAUUUGGUGGAGUAGGUGACUGGUGACACAGUGAGUGUAAAGAGUAGACUCAUUCAGCCACAGACAGAACAAGCUGAAGUCAUGGCUGCUUUUUUCCAGUCUCCCUUUGUGUCUCAGACACUACUGGAAUUUUACAUUCAUUUCCAUAUCUAGUUUAGUUGAAUAGUUUACUGAGUAGUUGUGUAAAUAGUUCUCUGUGUGGUUGGUUUGUACCAAUUUAAAUUAUAUAAGGCUCCAUCUUCCUAAACUCUUGUCAACAAUGUUAGUGUAUGAUUAUCACAGUCCAAUACCAGUACACUUUGAUUUUGGCUUCUGUAAUAGAAAUCACAUAGAAUUGUCUUUUACCUUAGUUUCCUCUGAUGACCAGGGAAGUGGUGAUUUAUGUGACCACAGCCUCUUAUUUAAGAAAUCUCAGAAAUACAAAUGAAAUAUUGUAAGUUGAUAUUCUCAAAUUC